GGCGCUGUGUCUUAGUUGGUUAAAGCGCCUGUCUAGUAAACAGGAGACCCUGAAUUCGAAUCUCAGCAGUGCCU
Molecule: transfer RNA, 74 nt
Filed under: Pelobates cultripes (western spadefoot toad)
Lineage: Eukaryota; Metazoa; Chordata; Amphibia; Anura; Pelobatidae
Description: tRNA.Thr
Rfam family: tRNA
About the family: Transfer RNA (tRNA) molecules are approximately 80 nucleotides in length.
Source: RNAcentral